Molecule: long non-coding RNA, 1976 nt
Organism: Megalobrama amblycephala (Wuchang bream)
Lineage: Eukaryota; Metazoa; Chordata; Actinopteri; Cypriniformes; Xenocyprididae
Exons: 3
Source: RefSeq, a predicted model, not a curated record
UGUAAUGGCCCCUUUAAGAAAUCUUCUCUCUCGCUCUCUCUUCUCGCGAUACUGUUUGCGCGAUUUGGAUGCGUGCGCGCGACCAGAGAAGCCAUUCUCACUGUACAUGAGAGCUCCAUGUGGUAGUGCAUGCAUUUCGUCUAAUCUAAUGUAGUUUCAUCAUCUUUUCGGUCAAUGCUUUUGGAUCGCGUGUCUGACGAGUGAACCUCGUGGCAAAUAGUAAAGGAUUAUUGGUUCAAGACAUUAUCUUGACCAAUAUGGAUUGAUGUGACCGAGAGACUGUCACGGGGCAUUUCAAGGUCAACAUGUUCAUUUUCUCCACAUCAGACAGGUUGAUCUGAACUGAAUAAUAUGCAGCAUGUAUGAGCCGGGCACCUGAAGAUAUUGGCCCAAGAAAAUGUAGCCUUAAGAAGUUAAAUCAGUGCGUUUGAAUGGUUAGUUUCAAUGAAAAUUAUUUCACAGGUUAAAUUGAAUUAUCACUUAGUAGUGUUCACAUUUAAACUUCUGUGACAUUAUUGGCACCAAUCUAUAGAAACGACAAUCUAUAGUCUAAAGUCACAGACAGAAGACAGGAAAAAGUGGAUCAGACUCAAACGUUGUUCAUAGGGGUUGCUUGAUCAUAAUAUAUACAUACAUUUAUAUAAUAUAUAUAAAAAGAUUCUAACAUUUUCAUCAUAUUUUUUUAGCCCUCUUAAGUGUUCAUAAGGAAAUAUCAAGAAACAUCUUAUCUAGAAAGACAUGUUUAGGGUAUGAUAUCUUAAGAAUUAUGAUUGCUGGCCUCAUAGGAGUUGUUCCCUUCAAGUACAACUGAUUCAGCAUAUCCUCAGAGUACAAAGAUUUGCAUAACUGCCUACUAAAGUUGGUGAAAAGUAUUUUAAAAAAACUUGUUAAUACGUGUGGUAUUGGGGCCUUCCUUAAAAAAAAAGAAAAGAAAAAAAAAAAAAGACCAAAGUUAGGCUACUAAUAAUUGUGUUUUUACCCUUAAACAUAAACUUUGCUUCAUAUACAGGUACAUAUGUGGAUAUGAAAAUCUUCGAAUCUGCAACAAACCUUAAUUAUUUUCACGUCCAGUGCCCACGUUGUUAGCAAAUAUAGCAAAUGCACUCGCGGCCAUCUAUUCGCCCAUGGGUGUGCUGGUCUGAAAACGAGGUGUGUUCAGGUGCAUUGUUGGCGUGUUGCUAUUUUGAGGUAACUGAAAACAACUGCACCAUUGAUCAACUGAAACCUGGUCUAAAGUCAAUGGCGCAGUAUUUAUUUUUUUAUUUAAAGAGCGUGUUAGUAAUAUGCACCUAUAGGUUGGUGCACAACACACGUACACUCUGCUUGUUACACACACAGGGACGUGCAGCAGCACACAAACAUUUUUAAAUAUUAAAAAUAAAAGGAUUCCUCACUGGAGAAGCGUUCAGUCUUUCCGCUUGCAAAUUCCGCCAUGUAAAUGGCAAUCUGCCGUGGUGCAGGCGCAACUGGCUUUUAAAGGUAAUGGGAGAUGAGACUCUGAUUGGUUUAUUGCACGUUACACCCAAAACACACCCAUGACUCAUUAAGAGAAUAGGGACAGCCCUUUUGGGACUUCAGAAAUCCAGAUUACCAUCUACCACUUUAUAUGCUCAAGCUUUAUAUGGAUUCUGAUUGGCUGUCAGCUGGAUAAAGUUGCUUUGAAAGUGAUUCCAACUAUACCAAUCCUCUGUGUCAUUAACGUUACAGCUGUGGUUUGGACUUCACUAUUCUUAUUGCAUUAUGCUGAUUAUUAAACCUUUAUAACCCAAUAAAGGUUUAAUAAUCAUUAUAAUGCAAUGAGAAUAGUGACGUAUUUAUUGUAAUAGUCCACUUUAAACAUUCUACUAGUAACUUUGCAACAUGUCAACUACACUCUAAAAAUGCUGGGUUAAAAGCAACCCAAGUUGGGUUAAAAAUGGACAAACCCAAUGAUUGGGCUAUUUUAACCCAGCUGCUUUGUUAAAUGUUUGACCAAC